Molecule: ribosomal RNA, 692 nt
Filed under: uncultured bacterium
Lineage: Bacteria
Description: bacterial SSU rRNA
Rfam family: Bacterial small subunit ribosomal RNA
Source: RNAcentral
AGGGUGAGUAAUAGUUAGGUAACGUACCGUCUCGCUGGGGAUAACUAGGGGAAACCUUAGCUAAUACCGAAUAGUCUGCUGAGGCGAAUGCCGAUGCAGUAAAGCCAUUAGGCGCGGGACGAUCGGCCUAACUCCUAUCAGCUAGUUGGUAGGGUAACGGCCUACCAAGGCUAUGACGGGUAGCUGGUCUGAGAGGAUGGUCAGCCACACUGGCACUGAGACACGGGCCAGACUCCUACGGGAGGCAGCAGUUAGGAAUCUUGCGCAAUGGGCGAAAGCCUGACGCAGCGACGCCGCGUGAGGGAAGAAGGCCUUCGGGCUGUAAACCUCUUUCGGCAGGGAACACUAAAGAUAGUACCUGCAGAAGAAGCCCCGGCUAACUACGUGCCAGCAGCCGCGGUAAAACGUAGGGGGCAAGCGUUACUCGGAAUGACUGGGCGUAAAGGGUGUGUAGGCGGCUUCCUAAGUCCGAUGUGAAAGCCCUAGACUCAAUCUAGGAACUGCAUCGGAUACUGGGUUGCUAGAGUGCCAGAGGGGGGAACGGAAUUCCCGGUGUAGAGGUGAAAUUCGUAGAUAUCGGGAGGAACACCGAAAGCGAACGCGGGUCCCUGGCUGGUUACUGACGCUGAGACACGAAAGCNUGGGGAGUAAACAGGAUUAGAUACCCUGGUAGUCCACGCCCUAACGAUCAC